Molecule: ribosomal RNA, 589 nt
Filed under: uncultured Burkholderia sp.
Lineage: Bacteria; Pseudomonadati; Pseudomonadota; Betaproteobacteria; Burkholderiales; Burkholderiaceae
Description: bacterial SSU rRNA
Rfam family: Bacterial small subunit ribosomal RNA
Source: RNAcentral
UCGGGUUGUAAAGCACUUUUGUCCGGAAAGAAAACUUCUGCCCUAAUACGGUGGGAGGAUGACGGUACCGGAAGAAUAAGCACCGGCUAACUACGUGCCAGCAGCGCGGUAAUCGUAGGGUGCGAGCGUUAAUCGGAAUUACUGGGCGUAAAGCGUGCGCAGGCGGUUCGUUAAGACAGAUGUGAAAUCCCCGGGCUUAACCUGGGAACUGCAUUUGUGACUGGCGAGCUAGAGUAUGGCAGAGGGGGGUAGAAUUCCACGUGUAGCAGUGAAAUGCGUAGAGAUGUGGAGGAAUACCGAUGGCGAAGGCAGCCCCCUGGGCCAAUACUGACGCUCAUGCGCGAAAGCGUGGGGAGCAAACAGGAUUAGAUACCCUGGUAGUCCACGCCCUAAACGAUGUCAACUAGUUGUUGGGUCUUCAUUGACUUAGUAACGUAGCUAACGCGUGAAGUUGACCGCCUGGGGAGCACGGUCGCAAGAUUAAAACUCAAAGGAAUUGACGGGGACCCGCACAAGCGGUGGAUGAUGUGGAUUAAUUCGAUGCAACGCGAAAAACCUUACCUACCCUUGACAUGGUCGGAACCUGCUG